Molecule: ribosomal RNA, 779 nt
Filed under: uncultured bacterium
Lineage: Bacteria
Description: bacterial SSU rRNA
Rfam family: Bacterial small subunit ribosomal RNA
Source: RNAcentral
AGAGUUUGAUCCUGGCUCAGAGCGAACGCUGGCGGCGUGCUUAACACAUGCAAGUCGAGUGCGCGCCUGUAGCAAUACAGGUGGCGCACGGCGCACGGGUGCGUAACACGUGGGCAAUCUGCCCUCGGAUGGGGGAUAACUCGCCGAAAGGCGAGCUAAUACCGCAUGACAUUCCUGGGACUCCGGUCCCGGGACUCAAAGGCCGCAAGGCCGUCUGAGGAGGAGCCCGCGCCCGAUUAGCUAGUUGGUGAGGUAACGGCUCACCAAGGCUUUGAUCGGUAGCCGGUCUGAGAGGAUGGCCGGCCACACUGGAACUGAGACACGGUCCAGACUCCUACGGGAGGCAGCAGUGGGGAAUAUUGCGCAAUGGGCGAAAGCCUGACGCAGCGACGCCGCGUGGGGGAUGAAGCUUCUCGGAGUGUAAACCCCUUUCGACCCGGACGAAUGACCCGCAAGGGUUUGACGGUACGGGUAUAAGAAGCCCCGGCUAACUACGUGCCAGCAGCCGCGGUAAUACGUAGGGGGCCAGCGUUGCUCGGAAUUACUGGGCGUAAAGGGUUCGUAGGUGGUGCGGCAAGUUGGAAGUGAAAUCUCUGGGCUUAACUCAGAGGCUGCUUUCAAAACUGCCGUGCUCGAGUGCGGGAGAGGCCAGUGGAAUUGCAGGUGUAGCGGUGAAAUGCGUAGAUAUCUGCAGGAACACCCGUGGCGAAGGCGGCUGGCUGGACCGCAACUGACACUGAGGAACGAAAGCUAGGGGAGCAAACAGGAUUAGAUACCCU